Cryptomeria japonica (Japanese cedar) is the source of this 935-nucleotide long non-coding RNA. RefSeq lists it as uncharacterized. The transcript is spliced from 3 exons. NCBI's taxonomy places the organism in Eukaryota, Viridiplantae, Streptophyta, Pinopsida, Cupressales, Cupressaceae. The record is from RefSeq and is a predicted model, not a curated record.
UUGCCCAAAAAUCCCUACGAACUGCAAUGGACUCAGAAAACGAAUAUGAAGAAAAGUAAUGUAGUGUCGAGUGGGAAUGGAAUUUGUACUCCAAGUGCAAAUUCAAUCCAUUUUGAAGCGAUUUCCGAACGAUUUCAAACGUUCAGAGGAGCGUGCCCUAAUGGCACUCAAGCGCAGAUUCAAUCCAUUUUUACGAAUAACUGUCCAGAUUCAAUUCACAACGUGCCCUAAUGGCACUCAAAUUACAAUGGCCGUUGCAAAAAGCAGAUCGUGUUACCGUUGGAAAAAGCAGGAUUUCAAUUCUUUUAAAAGGAGACUGGAGAUAUACUAGAGAAGCAGAGCAGAUUAUAUUGUUCUUUCAUUUUUUUUGGUUUUCUUUUUAACUUCAAUAUCUUUUUGGCGUGGCCACGCCUCUGAGUCUUGCUUUCCUGAGUUUGUAAUUUUUACUUUUUAUACUCAGAUGUUUUCAUUUGCAGUCUGGGUUUGAAUUGCAGUUUUAUGUUUUGGUAUUUUGUGUAUUUCUUUUCUGUGGGGCGUCAUUUUUGAUGGGCAUGGAGGUAGGCAGCGGCAAGAAUUCUACGUUCUGGAGUGGCUGAUUGGAGUUAUGGACAGAAAAUGGGUAGAGCCGUAGGUGAUUGACUCUGCCUGACCAUUUUAACAGUAGUAGAAUAAACCUCACCCCACCAAUACGUUCACCAUAUCUUGGUCACCAUGUUGUCGAGUUGCAUGUAUACAAGUUCUGACAGAUGAGUUUUGCACCGAUCUCUUAUUUUACAAAUAGUUUGGUUAACUUAUCUAUGUUCUGCAUUUUGCAUGCAUGGUUACCAAACAUUUGUAAUACCAUAGAAAAUCAUUCAGAAAUUUAGAUAUUAUUGGUAUUUCCAGGGUGAGUUUUCCCUCACUUAGAUAAUAUUUUGAAAAAUUUUGGAUAUUAC